Long non-coding RNA from Clupea harengus (Atlantic herring), 1074 nucleotides. The record is from Ensembl. Lineage: Eukaryota; Metazoa; Chordata; Actinopteri; Clupeiformes; Clupeidae.
CGUCUUUGUUUCCCCCCCGUGUCUCAAGAGUUCCAGCGAUUUCCCAUGGUCUACAAAGUUCUAGCGAUAACGACUCUUGCCUGUAUAAUCGACUCCGUGUUUGCCUUCUCCUUGCCGGUGCCUUUGCCUCCACAACCUCCUACCUGGAUAACGACCCUGGACUGUUUACUCGACUCCGUGAUUGCCUCCUCCUUGCCGGUACCUCUGCCUCUACAAACUACUACCUGUGUGACGACCCUGGACUAGAUUAACGACGAUCCCCGCUGCCCAUCCCUGAUUGGAUUUGUUUGUUUGUAUUUGGACUGUCUUACCGUGUACCGAACCCGUUCAGUAAAAGUUGUUAUUCUGCAUCUCUGUCUCCGAGUCGAGCAUUUGGAUCCUACAUUUCCACGUACAUUACACAGAUGCCAUUGGACUGGAUCUGGACUGGAUGUCAUCCCAAACAACUGCCGACUUUGGUCCCAAGGUCAUCUGGUUCUGGUUCUGGUUCUGGCCAGGAUGUCACCCCAGAGAACACUGGGACUGGUCCAGGAUGCGUGUCACACCUGGGCCAGGUCUACUUCAGAGACAUCAGACACUGCUGCUGCUGUCUGAGCUCUUGAUUUCCCUGUGCUGCUGUGCUGCUGUGUUGCUGUGCUGCUGUGUUGCUGUGCUGCUGUGUAGCUGCGCUCCUGUGCUGCUGUGCUGCUGUGUUGCUGCGCUCCUGUGGUCCUGUGCUGCUGUGGUGUGUUGUGUGGCAUGCCUGGCACAGCGGAGGCUCUGGGCGGUCUGAAAGAGCGCACACAGGGGGAUAGCGACAGGAAAUGGGAAAUGAGAUUUGUGGAACUCUUCACCUCUUAACCACUGCCUCAUCCUGCACCCCUCAGCACAGUCCUCAGAUGUGUGUGUGUGUGUGUGUGUGUGUGUGUGUGUGUGUGUGUGUGUGUGUGUGUGUGUGUGUGUGUGUGUGUGUGUGUGUGUGUGUGUGUGUGUGUGUGUGUGUGUGUGUGUGUGUGUGUGUGCAUCGUUCAGAUGCUAGGGGUGUGUGUGUAUAUGUGUUUGUGUGUGUGUCAUUUCUCCGUGAGGGUUUUGGGG